Molecule: ribosomal RNA, 121 nt
Filed under: Hirsutella nivea
Lineage: Eukaryota; Fungi; Ascomycota; Sordariomycetes; Hypocreales; Ophiocordycipitaceae
Description: partial 28S ribosomal RNA
Source: RNAcentral
GACCUCUGCGUGGUAGCACAAGACUCGCACCGGAGCCCGGGCGCGGCCACGCCGUGAAAGGAACCGAACCCACCGACGUUGACCUCGGAUCAGGCAGGGGUACCCGCUGAACUUAAGCAUA